CAAUCGAACCCGGAGAUAGCUGGUUCUCCCCGAAAUAGCUUUAGGGCUAGCCUCACGUGAUGAGUUGUGGAGGUAGAGCACUGAUUGGGCUAGGGGCCUUACCAGGUUACCAAACCCGUUCAAACUCCGAAUGCCAUAACUUUAGCGUGGGAGUCAGACUGCGAGUGAUAAGAUCCGUAGUCGAAAGGGAAACAGCCCAGACCAUCAGCUAAGGUCCCCAAGUACGGGCUAAGUGGAAAAGGAUGUGGAGUUGCACAGACAACCAGGAUGUUGGCUUAGAAGCAGCCAUUCAUUUAAAGAGUGCGUAAUAGCUCACUGGUCAAGUGAUUCUGCGCCGAAAAUGUACCGGGGCUCAAGCCCGUCACCGAAGCUAUGGAUUACCGCUAAUUUCACCGAGAGUUUGCUUGCGACACCGAGGGUGCGCAGCAGCUGAGGUGUCGCUAAAUGAGUUUAGUGAAAGCCUGGUCGCUUGCGACACCGAGGGUGCGCAGCAGCUGAGGUGUCGCUAAAUGAGUUUAGCGAAAACCCGGAUCAACAAACUCUGGGUGAAAUUAGCGGUAGUGGUAGGGGAGCGUUGUGUUCAGCGUAGAAGCCGUACCGUAAGGAGCGGUGGAGCGGACACAAGUGAGAAUGCAGGAAUAAGUAGCGAAAAGACAGGUGAGAAUCCUGUCCGCCGCAAGCCUAAGGUUUCCUGAGGAAGGUUCGUCCACUCAGGGUAAGCCGGGACCUAAGCCGAGGCCGAAAGGCGUAGGCGAUGGAUAACGGGUUAAAAUUCCCGUGCCACCGACGUUCGUUUGAGCGAAGAGGGGACACAGGAGGGUAGGUUGAGCCGGUGAUUGGUAGAGCCGGUCUAAGCGAGCAGGGUGUCUGGCAGGCAAAUCCGCCAGGCAACAGCCCGAGACGCGAAUGGGAGCGACACUACGGUGAAGCGAAGCAACUGACCCCAAACUGUCGAGAAAAGCCUCUAGUGAGAGCGUUGGUGUCCGUACCGCAAACCGACACAGGUAGGCGAGGAGAGAAUCCUAAGGCGCGCGAGAGAACCCUUGUUAAGGAACUCGGCAAAAUGACCCCGUAACUUAGGGAUAAGGGGUGCCGCCGCGAGGCGGUUGCAGAGAAACGGCCCAAGCGACUGUUUACCAAAAACACAGGUCCCUGCUAAGUCGUAAGACGACGUAUAGGGGCUGACGCCUGCCCAGUGCCGGAAGGUUAAGGGGAGGAGUUAGGCGUAAGCCAAAGCUUCGAACUUAAGCCCCGGUAAACGGCGGCCGUAACUAUAACGGUCCUAAGGUAGCGAAAUUCCUUGUCGGGUAAGUUCCGACCUGCACGAAUGGCGUAACGACUUGGGCGCUGUCUCGACGAGGGGCUCGGCGAAAUUGUAAUACCUGUGAAGAUGCAGGUUACCCGCGGUUAGACGGAAAGACCCCGUGGAGCUUCACUGCAACUUGACAUUGAGUUUUGGUAUUCUUUGUACAGGAUAGGUGGGAGACUGUGAGUCAUGGGCGCUAGCCUGUGAGGAGUCAACCUUGGGAUACCACCCUGAGUGUACUGGAAUUCUAACCGCACACCGUGAUCCGGUGGCGGGACAUUGUCAGGUGGGCAGUUUGACUGGGGCGGUCGCCUCCCAAACAGUAACGGAGGCGCGCAAAGGUUCGCUCAGUGCGGUUGGAAAUCGCGCGUCGAGUGUAAAGGCAGAAGCGAGCUUAACUGCGAGACAAACAAGUCGAGCAGGGUCGAAAGACGGCCUUAGUGAUCCGGUGGUUCCGAGUGGAAGGGCCAUCGCUCAACGGAUAAAAGCUACCC
RNAcentral lists this ribosomal RNA (1800 nucleotides) under fermentation metagenome. RNAcentral's name for it is "bacterial LSU rRNA". It matches the Rfam family "Bacterial large subunit ribosomal RNA", at positions 830 to 2468 of the family's 2925-position model. The record is from RNAcentral.